This 536-nucleotide ribosomal RNA is filed under the name uncultured bacterium. Its description in RNAcentral is "partial 16S ribosomal RNA". It matches the Rfam family "Bacterial small subunit ribosomal RNA", at positions 355 to 881 of the family's 1533-position model. The record is from RNAcentral.
UGGGGAAUAUUGCACAAUGGGCGCAAGCCUGAUGCAGCCAUGCCGCGUGUGUGAAGAAGGCCUUCGGGUUGUAAAGCACUUUCAGCGAGGAGGAAGGUGGUGAGCUUAAUACGCUCAUCAAUUGACGUUACUCGCAGAAGAAGCACCGGCUAACUCCGUGCCAGCAGCCGCGGUAAUACGGAGGGUGCAAGCGUUAAUCGGAAUUACUGGGCGUAAAGCGCACGCAGGCGGUUUGUUAAGUCAGAUGUGAAAUCCCCGGGCUCAACCUGGGAACUGCAUUUGAAACUGGCAAGCUAGAGUCUCGUAGAGGGGGGUAGAAUUCCAGGUGUAGCGGUGAAAUGCGUAGAGAUCUGGAGGAAUACCGGUGGCGAAGGCGGCCCCCUGGACGAAGACUGACGCUCAGGUGCGAAAGCGUGGGGCAGCAAACAGGAUUAGAUACCCUGGUAGUCCACGCUGUAAACGAUGUCGAUUUUGGAGGUUGUGCCCUUGAGGCGUGGCUUCCGGAGCUAACGCGUUAAAUCGACCGCCUGGGGAGU